This 500-nucleotide ribosomal RNA is filed under the name uncultured bacterium. RNAcentral's name for it is "partial 16S ribosomal RNA". It matches the Rfam family "Bacterial small subunit ribosomal RNA", at positions 30 to 523 of the family's 1533-position model. The record is from RNAcentral.
AUUGAACGCUGGCGGCAUGCCUUACACAUGCAAGUCGAACGGCAGCACGGGAGCAAUCCUGGUGGCGAGUGGCGAACGGGUGAGUAAAGUAUCGGAACGUGCCCAGUCGUGGGGGAUAACGUAGCGAAAGUUACGCUAAUACCGCAUACGAUCUAUGGAUGAAAGCGGGGGAUCGCAAGACCUCGCGCGAUUGGAGCGGCCGAUAUCAGAUUAGGUAGUUGGUGGGGUAAAGGCUCACCAAGCCGACGAUCUGUAGCUGGUCUGAGAGGACGACCAGCCACACUGGGACUGAGACACGGCCCAGACUCCUACGGGAGGCAGCAGUGGGGAAUUUUGAACAAUGGGCGAAAGCCUGAUCCAGCCAUGCCGCGUGCAGGAUGAAGGCCUUCGGGUUGUAAACUGCUUUUGUACGGAACGAAAAGGUUUGGGCUAAUAAGCUGAGCUCAUGACGGUACCGUAAGAAUAAGCACCGGCUAACUACGUGCCAGCCGCCGCAGUAA